AUAAACAUUAAAAAAGAAAAGCGAAAUGCUUUAAAAACUGAAAGACCACCUCCUUCCUCUGCUCCAAACACUGCCGUGAUUCCUUGUUUCAUCCAGACGAAAAGGCUGGGUUCUCCCAAGGGCCUGUCCAUCUGGCCCCACAGCCCCCUGACCUCCUUACCUCCUCUCCCUCUACCCUCAGCCCUGCUGUCUCUGCACAGUCGCAUACUCCUGCCUCACGGCUUUUCACUGCAGUUUUGCUCAGAACAGCCUCCCCAAGUCCUCACUUCCUCCAGCCUCCGAGAAGCCUGCCCUGACUUCCCCACACAUGUACAGCAGCGUGCCGGUGCUCCUGAUGUUCCCUCCUCUGCUCUACUUUUUGCCCGAAGCACACAUCACCUCCGAUAGACUGUAUUGCCCUUCCCGGACUUAAAAUGUGGGCUCCCUGAGGAGUCCGACCUGUUUUGUUGACUGAUGCCUCUCCAGCUUCUAAGGCGGUGCCUCUAGAGCAAAGAAGGUUCAGAAGAUGGCCUUGUAAUGGGAGACUGUGCCACGUGCACUUGGGCCAGAGCAGGAGCAAGACGCGUGCUGCCCUAGGCUCACGGGGCUGAGGUCUCGUGGGUGAAACGACAGCAUACAACUUCUGUAGCCCUCGCGGUGCCAGGCACUGCACCGAGUGCUUCCUCACGACCACCUGACCAGGCAGCUCCUGUUACCAUCUUCAUUUUCCAGGAUCCAAGUUCAUGUUGCCACACAAACAGCAAAAUAAACCGGUAUGUUCCAAGAACAAACAUUUGCUUUAUCCACCCACAACUUGGAAA
Molecule: long non-coding RNA, 800 nt
Organism: Lynx canadensis (Canada lynx)
Lineage: Eukaryota; Metazoa; Chordata; Mammalia; Carnivora; Felidae
Exons: 2
Source: RefSeq, a predicted model, not a curated record